Molecule: ribosomal RNA, 527 nt
Filed under: uncultured bacterium
Lineage: Bacteria
Description: bacterial SSU rRNA
Rfam family: Bacterial small subunit ribosomal RNA
Source: RNAcentral
AGAGUUUGAUCAUGGCUCAGAUUGAACGCUGGCGGCAGGCUUAACACAUGCAAGUCGAGCGGUAACAGGGGGAGCUUGCUCCCCGCUGACGAGCGGCGGACGGGUGAGUAAUGCUUAGGAAACUGCCCAGUAGUGGGGGAUAGCCCGGGGAAACCCGGAUUAAUACCGCGUACGCCCUUCGGGGGAAAGCAGGGGAUCUUUGGACCUUGCGCUAUUGGAUGUGCCUAAGUCGGAUUAGCUAGUUGGUGGGGUAAAGGCCUACCAAGGCGACGAUCCGUAGCUGGUCUGAGAGGAUGAUCAGCCACAUCGGGACUGAGACACGGCCCGAACUCCUACGGGAGGCAGCAGUGGGGAAUAUUGGACAAUGGGGGCAACCCUGAUCCAGCCAUGCCGCGUGUGUGAAGAAGGCUUUCGGGUUGUAAAGCACUUUCAGUGAGGAGGAAGGCUGUAAGGUUAAUACCCUUGCAGAUUGACGUUACUCACAGAAGAAGCACCGGCUAACUCCGUGCCAGCCGCCGCGGUAAUUC